This 460-nucleotide ribosomal RNA is filed under the name uncultured bacterium. RNAcentral's name for it is "partial 16S ribosomal RNA". It matches the Rfam family "Bacterial small subunit ribosomal RNA", at positions 338 to 795 of the family's 1533-position model. The record is from RNAcentral.
CCUACGGGCGGCAGCAGUGAGGAAUAUUGGUCAAUGGACGAGAGUCUGAACCAGCCAAGUAGCGUGAAGGAUGACUGCCCUAUGGGUUGUAAACUUCUUUUAUAUGGGAAUAAAAUGUUCCACGUGUGGGAUUUUGUAUGUCCCAUAUGAAUAAGGAUCGGCUAACUCCGUGCCAGCAGCCGCGGUAAUACGGAGGAUCCGAGCGUUAUCCGGAUUUAUUGGGUUUAAAGGGAGCGUAGGUGGAUUGUUAAGUCAGUUGUGAAAGUUUGCGGCUCAACCGUAAAAUUGCAGUUGAAACUGGCAGUCUGGAGUGCAGUAGAGGUGGGCGGAAUUCGUGGUGUAGCGGUGAAAUGCUUAGAUAUCACGAAGAACUCCGAUUGCGAAGGCAGCUCACUGGACUGCAACUGACACUGAGGCUCGAAAGUGUGGGUAUCAAACAGGAUUAGAUACCCGAGUAGUC